GCAAGGAAUAUUGUGCAAUGGGCGAAAGCCUGACACAGCGACGCCGCGUGAAGGAUGAAGGCCUUCGGGUUGUAAACUUCUUUUCUUAGGGAAGAAUAAUGACAGUACCUAAGGAAUAAGCUACGGCCAACUACGUGCCAGCAGCCGCGGUAAUACGUAGGUAGCAAGCGUUAUCCGGAUUUACUGGGCGUAAAGAGGGCGCAGGCGGCUUCUCAAGUCGAAUGUAAAAUCUCCCAGCUCAACUGGGAAUGACCAUUCGAUACUGUUAAGCUAGAGAGCAGCAGAGGGAGGUGGAAUUCCCGGUGGAGUGGUGAAAUGCGUAGAUAUCGGGAGGAACACCAGUGGCGAAGGCGGCCUCCUGGGCUGUUUCUGACGCUGAGGCCCAAAGGCAUGGGGAGCAAACAGGAUUAGAAACCCUAGUAGUCC
This 426-nucleotide ribosomal RNA is filed under the name uncultured bacterium. Its description in RNAcentral is "bacterial SSU rRNA". It matches the Rfam family "Bacterial small subunit ribosomal RNA", at positions 354 to 796 of the family's 1533-position model. The record is from RNAcentral.